UCCGAACAGAGCAGUUAAGCCCGCCCGAGCCGAUGGUAUUGCCGUAACAGGUGGGAGAGUAGGUCGGUGCCUUCU
Molecule: ribosomal RNA, 75 nt
Filed under: Sphingobacterium alimentarium
Lineage: Bacteria; Pseudomonadati; Bacteroidota; Sphingobacteriia; Sphingobacteriales; Sphingobacteriaceae
Source: RNAcentral